UAUGAUUUAUGCACUUGCUGGAAGCAAACAUAAGUACUCAAGUUCACUCUAACGUUUUCUGCACUACACGAUCAAGUCGUUUUCCCCGAGGACCAAACAUACCAAUGAAGUAAAAUCGUGUUGUUCCAUAAUGUGCCCACGGCUUUGCUUCCAUUGGGAUGGCAUACUGAGAAAUUCUAUUACAGGUUUGUUGCAUUUUUUGUCGCUUGGCUAAAUGAACGCCUCCUUCUUCUUCCCAUUCAUACACAACAUUGACGCCAAUCUCUUUAGUCACAAAACAUGUACUGCUAUAUGUA
This 296-nucleotide long non-coding RNA is filed under the name Daucus carota (carrot). Its description in RNAcentral is "long non-coding RNA (DCAR_LNC006223)". Lineage: Eukaryota; Viridiplantae; Streptophyta; Magnoliopsida; Apiales; Apiaceae. The record is from RNAcentral.